AACGAACGCUGGCGGCAUGCCUAACACAUGCAAGUCGAACGAAGGCCUCGGCCUUAGUGGCGCACGGGUGCGUAACGCGUGGGAAUCUGCCCUUUGCUUCGGAAUAACAGUUAGAAAUGACUGCUAAUACCGGAUGAUGUCGCAAGACCAAAGAUUUAUCGGCAAAGGAUGAGCCCGCGUAGGAUUAGCUAGUUGGUGGGGUAAAGGCCUACCAAGGCGACGAUCCUUAGCUGGUCUGAGAGGAUGAUCAGCCACACUGGGACUGAGACACGGCCCAGACUCCUACGGGAGGCAGCAGUGGGGAAUAUUGGACAAUGGGCGAAAGCCUGAUCCAGCAAUGCCGCGUGAGUGAUGAAGGCCUUAGGGUUGUAAAGCUCUUUUACCCGGGAUGAUAAUGACAGUACCGGGAGAAUAAGCUCCGGCUAACUCCGUG
RNAcentral lists this ribosomal RNA (433 nucleotides) under uncultured bacterium. Its description in RNAcentral is "partial 16S ribosomal RNA". It matches the Rfam family "Bacterial small subunit ribosomal RNA", at positions 29 to 507 of the family's 1533-position model. The record is from RNAcentral.